AUGUGACGGGUAGUGUCAAGGGGUUGAGCUGACGUCAUCAAUGAGCGCCCUAUUUUACGGGCCGUCUCCCGUUCUCUAGCAGUCCGCUGAGAGGAGAGUAACAGGUUUUGCCGGCCGAGUGGAGUCCCUUCGGACGUCGUUGGGGAGGGUUUAGCUCCUCAGCCUUUCCAGUGAGUUGCUGUGUGUGUGCGUGUGUGUGUGUGUGUGUGUGUUGCAUGUUUAUAGGUUGCACGGGUGAUUAGAUGAACUGGGGGAUUCGCUGUCUCCACACUGACGCUCGCCCCACCGCUGCUGUGUUUAGGGACCCGGGCAAGUACACAGAUUGUUCGUGAUAAACUGUCAGCCAAAUUAGAAUAGGUUUACGGUGUGUGUUUUUUACUGCUGUAAUAAUAAAUUAUUGUUUUGUACCACAAUAUGAUCUCUGUUCCUUGAGUAAACCGAACCUGUAUUGUCCAGUCCGGCUCAAGGACUUCCCCCUCUUAUAAUAAAGAAAAGACCCUGGUGUUAUCCCAGUAGUUAGAAAUAAAUCAGCCCCCCCCCCCCCCUACUUGGUGUCACAUUUGGCGUUGCUGGC
Molecule: long non-coding RNA, 574 nt
Organism: Gasterosteus aculeatus aculeatus (three-spined stickleback)
Lineage: Eukaryota; Metazoa; Chordata; Actinopteri; Perciformes; Gasterosteidae
Source: Ensembl